UACAGAGGGUGCGAGCGUUAAUCGGAAUUACUGGGCGUAAAGCGCGCGUAGGCGGCUUUGCAAGUCGGGUGUGAAAUCCCCAGGCUUAACCUGGGAACUGCAUUCGAGACUGCAUUGCUAGAGUAUGGGAGAGGGAAGUGGAAUUCCGGUGUAGCGGUGAAAUGCGCAGAUAUCGGGAGGAACACCAGUGGCGAAGGCGGCACUCUGGGCCGGAACUGACGCUGAGGAGCGAAAGCGUGGGUAGCAAACAGG
RNAcentral lists this ribosomal RNA (252 nucleotides) under uncultured bacterium. Its description in RNAcentral is "partial 16S ribosomal RNA". It matches the Rfam family "Bacterial small subunit ribosomal RNA", at positions 524 to 776 of the family's 1533-position model. The record is from RNAcentral.